AGCUGCUCUUCCUUACCCAGACGGGACAGUCGUGGACCACCAGCUUGACAUUCCCAAACGCACUGGCCUGAUACUCGGUGAACACCGGACGCGCGACCGUGCUGGCCGCGUUCAGCAACAAGCUGCUCUCGUCCCCGGAGACCAGAGGGCUUCUCCCCAGGUUCAGCCAUUUAGGAAAGAUUGGUGACCUAUCUGCAUGAUGGCAUUAACUACAAGGAUCAUCGAAGAGCCACAGUCACAAAGCCAGUCUCUGAAUAUGGUUCAAAGAAAUCUUAUAACUCUCUGAACAGAAGCAACCGAAUAUAUGGACCCCAUGACCCAGCUGUAUUAGUCUGUUCUCAUGCUGCUAAUAAAGACAUACCUGAGACUGCAUAAUUUAUAAAGGGAAGA
RNAcentral lists this long non-coding RNA (390 nucleotides) under Homo sapiens (human). RNAcentral describes it as "non-protein coding lnc-SPATA9-1:4". Lineage: Eukaryota; Metazoa; Chordata; Mammalia; Primates; Hominidae. The record is from RNAcentral.